This 305-nucleotide ribosomal RNA is filed under the name uncultured bacterium. Its description in RNAcentral is "bacterial SSU rRNA". It matches the Rfam family "Bacterial small subunit ribosomal RNA", at positions 335 to 657 of the family's 1533-position model. The record is from RNAcentral.
UUACCUACGGGGCGCAGCAGUGGGGAAUAUUGCACAAUGGGGGAAACCCUGAUGCAGCGACGCCGCGUGAGCGAUGAAGUAUUUCGGUAUGUAAAGCUCUAUCAGCAGGGAAGAAAGUGACGGUACCUGACUAAGAAGCCCCGGCUAACUACGUGCCAGCAGCCGCGGUAAUACGUAGGGGGCAAGCGUUAUCCGGAUUUACUGGGUGUAAAGGGAGCGUAGACGGCGGUGCAAGCCAGAUGUGAAAGCCCGGGGCUCAACCCCGGGACUGCAUUUGGAACUGUGCUGCUAGAGUGUCGGGGAGG